UACGGAAGGCAGCAGUAGGGAAUCUUCCGCAAUGGACGAAAGUCUGACGGAGCAACGCCGCGUGAACGAUGAAGGCUUUCGGGUCGUAAAGUUCUGUUGUUAGGGAAGAACAAGUACCGGAGUAACUGCCGGUACCUUGACGGUACCUAACCAGAAAGCCACGGCUAACUACGUGCCAGCAGCCGCGGUAAUACGUAGGUGGCAAGCGUUGUCCGGAAUUAUUGGGCGUAAAGCGCGCGCAGGCGGUCCUUUUAAGUCUGAUGUGAAAGCCCACGGCUCAACCGUGGAGGGUCAUUGGAAACUGGGGGACUUGAGUGCAGAAGAGGAGAGUGGAAUUCCACGUGUAGCGGUGAAAUGCGUAGAGAUGUGGAGGAACACCAGUGGCGAAGGCGACUCUCUGGUCUGUAACUGACGCUGAGGCGCGAAAGCGUGGGGAGCGAACAGGGAUUAGAUACC
Molecule: ribosomal RNA, 456 nt
Filed under: uncultured bacterium
Lineage: Bacteria
Description: bacterial SSU rRNA
Rfam family: Bacterial small subunit ribosomal RNA
Source: RNAcentral